This 397-nucleotide ribosomal RNA is filed under the name uncultured bacterium. Its description in RNAcentral is "partial 16S ribosomal RNA". It matches the Rfam family "Bacterial small subunit ribosomal RNA", at positions 523 to 918 of the family's 1533-position model. The record is from RNAcentral.
AUACGUAGGGGGCGAGCGUUGUCCGGAAUGAUUGGGCGUAAAGGGCGCGUAGGCGGCGCGGUAAGUCUGGAGUGAAAGUCCUGCGUUCAAGGUGGGAAUUGCUUUGGAUACUGCCGCGCUUGAGUGCAGGAGAGGUUAUCGGAAUUCCCGGGGUAGCGGUGAAAUGCGUAGAGAUCGGGAGGAACACCAGUGGCGAAGGCGGGUAACUGGACUGCAACUGACGCUGAGGCGCGAAAGUGUGGGGAGCAAACAGGAUUAGAUACCCUGGUAGUCCACACUGUAAACGAUGAAUGCUAGGUGUAAGAGGUAUCGACCCCUUUUGUGCCGGAGUCAACACAAUAAGCAUUCCGCCUGGGGAGUACGGCCGCAAGGUUGAAACUCAAAGGAAUUGACGGGG